UACGUAGGGACCAAGCGUUGUUCGGAUUUACUGGGCGUAAAGGGCGCGUAGGCGGCGUGACAAGUCACUUGUGAAAUCUCCGGGCUUAACUCGGAACGGUCAAGUGAUACUGUCGUGCUAGAAUGCAGAAGGGGCAAUCGGAAUUCUUGGUGUAGCGGUGAAAUGCGUAGAUAUCAAGAGGAACACCUGAGGUGAAGACGGGUUGCUGGGCUGACACUGACGCUGAGGCGCGAAAGCUAGGGGAGCAAACGGG
This 253-nucleotide ribosomal RNA is filed under the name uncultured bacterium. Its description in RNAcentral is "partial 16S ribosomal RNA". It matches the Rfam family "Bacterial small subunit ribosomal RNA", at positions 524 to 776 of the family's 1533-position model. The record is from RNAcentral.